CCAAGAACUAUUAGUGUCCCAGCAGCCUCUGCUCUGAGUGCUUUGCCUCAGUGUGGGGGACACGACAGGGCAGAACCAUGCAGGGAUUGGACAGGUUAAGGACGAGUACAGGCCUGGGUGGAGGUGUGGAUAGCAGUGGGUGUGGACAGUAGCGUCAGUACAGCAGAGCAAGCUGCCAGCUACCCAGUUGAUAAUAUAGCUUGGACUUAUGCCCGAUUCAACCAUUUCCACAGAACUGUGGGGUGAAGGUGUGUGGAGCCGAAUACCUGGACAGAUUGCAGGCAGUCAUCCCAUUAGACCUGCCAUCAGAGCGCUGCCUGAGAGGAAGCGGAGAACAGAAACCGUUUUA
Micropterus dolomieu (smallmouth bass) is the source of this 349-nucleotide long non-coding RNA. RefSeq lists it as uncharacterized. The transcript is spliced from 3 exons. NCBI's taxonomy places the organism in Eukaryota, Metazoa, Chordata, Actinopteri, Centrarchiformes, Centrarchidae. The record is from RefSeq and is a predicted model, not a curated record.